AAUCCAGUUGAUCCCGCUGGCGGUUGCGGCUAUCUGGUUUGACUUAGACAUGCAAGUCUUCCGAAAGGAGGCGAACUGCUCAGUAACACGUAGAUAACCUGCCCUAUUGCCCAUGAUACCCUCGGGAAACUGAGAUUAAGAAUGGAUAGGCGCCGACUACUGGAAUGUGUUGGCGCUCAAAAUUUGCAAUAGACUGGGUCUGCGGUGGAUUAGGUUGUUGGCGGGGUAAAGGCCCACCAAGCCGAUGAUCCAUACGGGCUUUUAGCGAAGGGGCCCGGAGAGGGAGUCUGAGACACUACUCCCAGCCCUACGGGGUGCAGCAGUCGAGUAUUUUCUGCAAUGUACGAAAGUAUGACAGAGCGAGCCAGAGUGAUUUUCUAUAAUUGAAAAUCUUUUGUGACAUGUAGAUAGUGUUACGAAUAAGGACCGGGCAAGACUGGUGCCAGUCGCCGCGGUAAUCCCAGCGGUCCAAGUCGCAACCACAAUUAUUGGGUCUAAAACAUCCG
This 506-nucleotide ribosomal RNA is filed under the name Candidatus Pacearchaeota archaeon. RNAcentral's name for it is "bacterial SSU rRNA". It matches the Rfam family "Archaeal small subunit ribosomal RNA", at positions 1 to 521 of the family's 1478-position model. Lineage: Archaea; Nanobdellati. The record is from RNAcentral.